Hordeum vulgare subsp. vulgare (domesticated barley) is the source of this 5091-nucleotide long non-coding RNA. RefSeq lists it as uncharacterized. The transcript has 2 exons. The record is from RefSeq and is a predicted model, not a curated record. Lineage: Eukaryota; Viridiplantae; Streptophyta; Magnoliopsida; Poales; Poaceae.
UGAUCUGACUGAUAGGAUGUGCGGUCCGUCGCCGCCCUGCGCCGGUGAUUGUCCUCUAUAGGCUCCAGGACUGCAAUAUAGUUCACGGAGAUCUACCGGAGGCGCAUCCAUCUAUGGCGUUGACUGCGACAGAUCUGAAGGUACCGGUGGGUGACUCAGAUCUGUAAGGAGAGACGUGCCGGUCUCCACUGCUGGAGCCUUGGCAAGUGGCUGGUACAUGCUACCGGCGAUGUGAUUAAACCAGAGGUAAUUUUGCGAUAAACCGGUAUCUGGUGGCACUGUGGGUCGAUCGAGUUCUCCCACUGAGAAAUUUGGAUCUAGCUUUCUCGUCUACCUACCCCUGGCGAGCUCACUAGCCUUAUGAUCCGUCUACUGUUUGAUGUCUGUGGUAGAAGCCUAGAUCUGUUCGAUCUGCUAUGGUCUACGGUAGCCUUGGCUGAAGAUAAGCCAUAAUCAGCUUCAGAUCCGUGAUACAGGAUGAUGACAUCAGCAUGCGAGAUAUUGGUUAGGAGCAGGCCAGUGAGGUGCAAUGGUUGCCUGAGGUGAUCGAUAUUUUGCUCGGAGGCUAGCCAUGAUAAUUGAUAAAAUACCACAAGGAACACACUUAUUGGUUUUUGGAUAGUUUGAUAAAGUUAUAUGGCUUUAAUGUUGUUAGUGGUAUCGAGGUAAUUAAAUUUGGCCAUGUUAUUUUGCGGCCCUUCUAUAGUUAAUAAUAAUUAUUCAUUUCUUAUCGAUUUUAUUUUUUAGUGCAAACUAAGCCUUACAGAUGAUGAUAUGUGAUUCCAUGUUUAUGACUCAAAAUUUUACCCACUCUAUUCUUUUUUAAAAGGUGUAUUUGAUUUAUAGAAAUAUGUUUUUUCUAGUUUUUACUUUUUACCAAGUUCAUAUAAAAAUGAAUAUCAAUUUCGAUAGUACUAAUAAAUAAAUAAACAUGAAAACAUAUUGAUGCGAAGGACAUGCCCCAACUUGUGCCAAGAGGUACUGGGUUUGACGCAGCCUCUAGCACGCGUGGGGCCUUGUAGCACGUCAGUCGAUUAUACAUAUGGUAUUUUGGUUGUUAAUAUUUUAUCAUUAUUUUCUACAAACGGAACUUGGAAGAGUUGACUUAUGAAAAAGAUUAGUACACACUAAAAAGGAACAGAGGGAGUAUCAUAUAUAUAGGCUGUGUUUGGACAUCACAAGAUAAACGGAUUGAACAUCUUGUUUUUUUAUUAUUGUAAAUUUAGUCUGUGUUUGGCAUUGCAGUGGAUUAUUACAAUCCAGCUUUUGCCUAUUUUAUCGUUUGUGUACUUUUUUCCUACUUCGCUGAUUAUUACAGGGUAGUUUCCACUAAUCAUAGUUCAGCAAUCCACAAACUAAGCCUCGGUAUACAUUUUUAAACAAGCAAUAGCUUACACAUGUUAUGUCUUGAUAAGUAACUAGCCAUAUAACUAUUAUUUUCCUACUUCGGUGCAUUGUACGAUUAUUAUUAUUAUUAUUAUAAAAAGUAUAAGGUCUAUUAAAAUUGAAGUAUGUGUCGUGCAUGUUUUAUUACUCUACAUCAAUGAAAAACUACACAUCGUUGAACAAGAUGAUCUUGUACAUGUAUGUUAUCAUGGCGACUAGUAUAGUAUACUACCUCCGUUGACAAAUAUAAGAUGUUCUAACUUUUUUGUAAAUAGGAUGGAUAUAGACACAUUUUAGCGUGUUUCUUCAUUCAUUUCUGUCUGUAUGUAGUCUAUAUAUUGGAAUAUCCAAAACAUCUUAUAUUUAUGGACGGAGGGAGUACAUAAUUACGUUUCUGUUGUACAAUUGAAACUUGACUAUAUGCUGUAGAUGUCUUAUGAUUUUACAUUGUGACAAAAUAAUAAGUUCGUUAAGACAUAUUUCUACAUGCUUUAUACUCCAUCCGUCCGAAAAUACUUGUCCUAGAAAUAAAUAAAAUGGGUGUAUCUAUAACUAAAAUAACUCUACAUACAUCUAUUUUUAAGACAAGUAUUUCCGGACGGAGGGAGUAUAUAUUAUGAUAUGAUUCUACAUUGUGGGAAAAUGAGUUUUGAAUAUCAUACUUCUAAUGUUCCUCAUUGAAAAUUUAUUUAUUGUAGUGUUAAUUUUUAAAAUCUAAGGGUAUCUUAUGUUCUGAUGAUAUGUAAGAAUAGACACAGGAAUAAGGUAGAAAUGCAUGUGAUAAGAAAACAUAGGAAUUUUGUCAACUGCAUUUGGUUCACAAAACUCAGGAUUAUUAGUACAAACGUGGUCAAAUCUAGGAUGCUAUUAUGCAAUUAAAGACCUCGAUAGUAGGAGUUUGAAAAAUGAGGUCCAGAUGGUUUUUACGCGGAUGUUUUACAUUGCAGAGUAAGCGUGGCAGAUCAUGUAGGAACUUGGUCUUUUAAGUUCUGGAUGCCUAUUAUUUCCCAUUAUUGCAAAAUAAACUACUCAUAUUUUUUAUCUCUUGAUUUGUGAACUGGUUUGGGAGCGAUGCAUAUUCUUACCAAUCAAGUAUUUAUGGCUUCCGUGUUAAUGAAAUAUGCAGUUCUGUGUAAGUAUUUUAUUUUGUGUUUCUUUUACCCUAAAAGUGUCAGAAGGGCCGUUUCUUAAUUUCUUUUGUUUAAAUAGAUGUAGCUGUACCGCUUGGUAGAUAAAAAAGUUAGGAGCUAUAGGCUGUAGGUCUUAGCAUAGCAGAUGUAUGUUUCCAUCGUUUCAUGAGUUGACAGUCACCAUUGUUGCUUUUUAUUACAUAUUGUGUAUACUUGUAUCUGUUAUACAACUACCACGUUCAUCAUUGGAAAUAUAGUUGAGUGUUAAACAUCUCUUUUGCCCUUUUGUAUAACCUGACCUUAUAUAAACAGGUGGUCUAGCUGUGAAUAUUUGCUUCUCUCUCUGUCAAAACAUGUUUGAAAUUUUCCAGUUUCUGUGACAUUAUUUUGCCUCAAAUGCAAAUGAGGUGCAUUGAAUCUGACUAGCACUUUGAACUUGAAGUCCAUACUAACAAUACUGAAGUAUUGGAGGGCAGCUUAAUUAUUUUAUUUUAUCAUGUUGUAUUGAAAUCUUUAUUUAUGCGAUCAGCCUCACAGAAUGUUAUUAUAUGCAAGCCAGCAUGAGGCGUGAUGGCGUUUCGUCCUUCACCUCAAAUACGUGCAACUAGAUGAGGAAAAUAGGAAACAUGGCACAGACGGGCCAAUAUUCUGCUUUGAUUCCCAGCCUGAAUACCACGACCUGCCAAACAAGGACAUUUGGGUAUGCCAAUGCCAAUAUCUGAGCCAAACAAGGACAUUUGGGUAUGCCAAUGCCAAUAUCUGAGCCAAACAAGGACAUUUGGGUAUGCCAAUGCCAAUAUCUGAGCAACUCCAACUGGGUGAGCCAGCAACUCCCGUGCCGCUCCUUGCAGCGGCCCGGGAGAACCCUAAAUCUCAGCCUCCCACCUCGCCGUCGUUGGAGGGCGUCGCCGGCGACGGGCCAUCUCCAUCUCGCAAGGAUCUCGAGCGGCGCGGGGGCGACUCAACUUCGAAGAUGCGGGGCGUGGUGGGGCUCUUGGCGGGACGCUGCCGGUGUGCACGGAGGAGGAGGACGCGAGCCGUCUGCGCGAGCGGCGGCGGUGCUAGGCGGUUGUUGGUGUGCGCGACGCGAGGUGGAGCUUGUGCGGGCGUGGCCUGGCGCGUUGCAGGGGUGGCUGGCUCGCAAGGUGCAGCAGGAAGCGGGGCGCGGGCGACGAGCCGCGGCCAUCCAUGGCCGGUCGCGGCGUGAUGCACAGGAGGCGUCACAGCGCAGUUCUGCUGCUGCGCGCAGGGCAGGGGCGGUUGCCAGAUUCAGCCGCAGGUGCAUGGUGCAUGGUGCAUGAUCAAACGAAUUUGGUAGACCAACUACAAACAUUCGAAAAAAAAUCUGGGCCUCAAUAUCAACCUCCAAACUGGUGUCUUAUCAAAAGACACUUGUAUUAGUUAGACAAGGAUUGUGAGCUUGUAAUUAGCUUCACAAGAAGCACCUUCAUGAUUUUUUUGCUAAUCAGAUUUGACAAAAAUUCAAGGGAUUGAGAGAAGUUGACCAUCACACAAUAUGAAGACAUAAUAGGGGCAUGCACAUAGCAUGGCAAGUAAUAUGUGAAGUAAUAUGUUCACGGGUGGUCAAAAUAGGCAGAUAACAUGUUCACAGGAUUGCAUUUUAUCAGUAGAACAGAUGAAUCGCUGACAUUGUGCUUUAUUUUGCCAUGAUUGACUUUGCACCUGCUGUUUCUUUCUUCUCCCCUGCCGUUGCCUGCCACCUACGCUGCAAAGCACAGCAAUUAGUUAGUAUAUGAUCAAAUUAUCUCGUAGAAAAAAAAUACAGUAUGCAAUGGUUAAGGUGCAUUCUGACCAGCUGUUUUUUUUUUGCUUGGCAGGUUUUUUCUUCUUCUGUGAUAUAAGAAGACUGUAUAUGCUUGCACUUUCAUGAGUUAUAAGAUACUAAAUUGCCUGUUUUCCAUACUUUAAUCCCCACCCUAUUUGCAGUUACCAAAAUACAGUACUAAAUCCGAAUUUGCAGUUACCAAAUACAGUACUAAAUUCAUACUUCAAUCCAAUUUGCAGUUAUCAACUGCAGUACUAAAUUCGUAGUAAAAGCCCUCUGAAUUCUGAAUUCAGUACCACCACCCACAGAUCCCUACUAACUCGGUCCCAGUGAGCACUCCCGACCAAAUCUGCCUUGGAUUAUGCGGAUCCCGCAUCGUCCAAAUCUGCGCUAAUUUAGGUAGGGUGAAGGAAACGGAUGAUGUACCUGUCGGUUGCCUAAUUGCGGCCCCUACGCGCGGCCGCCAGUUCCGCUUCCCGUCUGCGCUGGGCCUCGGCCGCCCGAUCCUUGGCCGCCCGGGCCGCCUUUUGCUCCGCGUCGCAUUUGCUUGUGUGGUCCAGGCCUUCGGCUAGCCCCUUGAUCUUUUUGCCGCAAUGGCACAUCCAGAGCACCUUCUCUGCCUUACCAGCCCUCCCGGACUUGGCCUGCUUGCCUGCCAUCCCGCUUGCGCUUGCUGAUGGCGGCGGAUGGGAUGGGAUGGGAUGGGAUGGGAAGGGAAGGGCUGGGUUUUGGUAAUAGGGUUUGGUGUACGGUGUAAUUUUGAAGUGUGUCCGUCUAUUUUCUUGAAAA